Molecule: ribosomal RNA, 467 nt
Filed under: uncultured bacterium
Lineage: Bacteria
Description: partial 16S ribosomal RNA
Rfam family: Bacterial small subunit ribosomal RNA
Source: RNAcentral
GACGAACGCUGGCGGCGUGCUUAACACAUGCAAGUCGAACGGAAAGGCCCUGCUUUUGUGGGGUGCUCGAGUGGCGAACGGGUGAGUAACACGUGAGUAACCUGCCCUUGACUUUGGGAUAACUUCAGGAAACUGGGGCUAAUACCGGAUAGGAGCUCCUGCUGCAUGGUGGGGGUUGGAAAGUUUCGGCGGUUGGGGAUGGACUCGCGGCUUAUCAGCUUGUUGGUGGGGUAGUGGCUUACCAAGGCUUUGACGGGUAGCCGGCCUGAGAGGGUGACCGGCCACAUUGGGACUGAGAUACGGCCCAGACUCCUACGGGAGGCAGCAGUGGGGAAUAUUGCACAAUGGGCGGGAGCCUGAUGCAGCAACGCCGCGUGCGGGAUGACGGCCUUCGGGUUGUAAACCGCUUUCGCCUGUGACGAAGCGUGAGUGACGGUAAUGGGUAAAGAAACACCGGCUAACUACGU